UACAGAGGGUGCAAGCGUUGUUCGGAAUUAUUGGGCGUAAAGCGCGUGUAGGCGGCUUGGCAAGUCGGGUGUGAAAGCCCUCAGCUCAACUGAGGAAGUGCGCCCGAAACUGCUGAGCUCGAGUACCGGAGAGGGUGGCGGAAUUCCCCAAGUAGAGGUGAAAUUCGUAGAGAUGGGGAGGAACACCGGUGGCGAAGGCGGCCACCUGGACGGUCACUGACGCUGAGACGCGAAAGCGUGGGUAGCAAACAGG
RNAcentral lists this ribosomal RNA (253 nucleotides) under uncultured bacterium. Its description in RNAcentral is "partial 16S ribosomal RNA". It matches the Rfam family "Bacterial small subunit ribosomal RNA", at positions 524 to 776 of the family's 1533-position model. The record is from RNAcentral.